This is a non-coding RNA of Megalops atlanticus (tarpon), 70 nucleotides long. The record is from the annotation of a GenBank genome assembly. Lineage: Eukaryota; Metazoa; Chordata; Actinopteri; Elopiformes; Megalopidae.
GCCAUGUGGCGUAGUGGGUAAGGAGAUGGGCUCGUAACUCAAAGGUUGUGGGUUCAAUUCCUGGGUGGUG